AGAGUUUGAUCCUGGCUCAGGAUGAACGCUGGCGGCGUGCCUAAUACAUGCAAGUCGAGCGAACUGAUUAGAAGCUUGCUUCUAUGACGUUAGCGGCGGACGGGUGAGUAACACGUGGGCAACCUGCCUGUAAGACUGGGAUAACUUCGGGAAACCGAAGCUAAUACCGGAUAGGAUCUUCUCCUUCAUGGGAAAUGAUUGAAAGAUGGUUUCGGCUAUCACUUACAGAUGGGCCCGCGGUGCAUUAGCUAGUUGGUGAGGUAACGGCUCACCAAGGCAACGAUGCAUAGCCGACCUGAGAGGGUGAUCGGCCACACUGGGACUGAGACACGGCCCAGACUCCUACGGGAGGCAGCAGUAGGGAAUCUUCCGCAAUGGACGAAAGUCUGACGGAGCAACGCCGCGUGAGUGAUGAAGGCUUUCGGGUCGUAAAACUCUGUUGUUAGGGAAGAACAAGUACGAGAGUAACUGCUCGUACCUUGACGGUACCUAACCAGAAAGCCACGGCUAACUACGUGCCAGCAGCCGCGGUAAUACGUAGGUGGCAAGCGUUAUCCGGAAUUAUUGGGCGUAAAGCGCGCGCAGGCGGUUUCUUAAGUCUGAUGUGAAAGCCCACGGCUCA
This 622-nucleotide ribosomal RNA is filed under the name uncultured marine bacterium. Its description in RNAcentral is "bacterial SSU rRNA". It matches the Rfam family "Bacterial small subunit ribosomal RNA", at positions 8 to 611 of the family's 1533-position model. The record is from RNAcentral.